RNAcentral lists this transfer RNA (82 nucleotides) under bacterium. RNAcentral describes it as "tRNA-Tyr". It matches the Rfam family "tRNA". From Rfam's summary of the family: Transfer RNA (tRNA) molecules are approximately 80 nucleotides in length. Their secondary structure includes four short double-helical elements and three loops (D, anti-codon, and T loops). Further hydrogen bonds mediate the characteristic L-shaped molecular structure. tRNAs have two regions of fundamental functional importance: the anti-codon, which is responsible for specific mRNA codon recognition, and the 3' end, to which the tRNAs corresponding amino acid is attached (by aminoacyl-tRNA synthetases). tRNAs cope with the degeneracy of the genetic code in two manners: having more than one tRNA (with a specific anti-codon) for a particular amino acid; and 'wobble' base-pairing, i.e. permitting non-standard base-pairing at the 3rd anti-codon position. The record is from RNAcentral.
GGGGAGAUUCCCGAGCGGCCAAAGGGGACGGACUGUAAAUCCGUUGGCGAUGCCUUCGCAGGUUCGAAUCCUGCUCUCCCCA